Long non-coding RNA from Pantherophis guttatus, 487 nucleotides. RefSeq lists it as uncharacterized. The record is from RefSeq and is a predicted model, not a curated record. NCBI's taxonomy places the organism in Eukaryota, Metazoa, Chordata, Lepidosauria, Squamata, Colubridae.
AAAAUACUGGGGAGAUGUUUGAAUAAAGGCAUGCUAAGUACUUUUGCACCCAGCUUCCAGCUUCAUCAGCACCUUGGCAAUCUCUCUACCAUUGGAGAUAGGAACAUGCUGGAUGGAUCCUUGUCGAAUUAAAACAAACAAACUUGGUCUUCAACAGGGCAGAAGAUCAGGGAUGGACUACACGCUUCUACUUUUAAGUCACACUUGAACUGGUCCUCUUGAUCUUGGCCUUUCAUGAAAAGUUAUGUUUAGCAACUGUCACAAUCACCAAAGAAAUGUGAACUGUGAUUAAGGAGAUGAAACAUCAAGGCAGGGCUAGGGGUGGCCUUUGUGGACAGAAAGCAGAAGGUUAGGGCAUAAUAAUAAUGCAGUCUAAUAGGAAUGCAUGGCCUUCGUGAUGAUGGGUUGGGUAGGUGGAUGUUAAAUUUAGGCAAAGAAAAGCUGCCUCUUCAGGAAUGUGGUUAAUAAAGAAGCCAUUUCUGUGUCA